UACGUAGGGUGCGAGCGUUGUCCGGAAUUAUUGGGCGUAAAGGGCUCGUAGGCGGUUUGUCGCGUCGGGAGUGAAAUCCACUGGCUUAACUGGUGGCUUGCUUUCGAUACGGGCAGACUGGAGGUAUGCAGGGGAGAACGGAAUUCCUGGUGUAGCGGUGAAAUGCGCAGAUAUCAGGAGGAACACCGGUGGCGAAGGCGGUUCUCUGGGCAUGUCCUGACGUGAGGAGCGAAAGUGUGGGGAGCGAACAGG
RNAcentral lists this ribosomal RNA (252 nucleotides) under uncultured bacterium. RNAcentral describes it as "partial 16S ribosomal RNA". It matches the Rfam family "Bacterial small subunit ribosomal RNA", at positions 524 to 776 of the family's 1533-position model. The record is from RNAcentral.